Cloeon dipterum is the source of this 441-nucleotide long non-coding RNA. RefSeq lists it as uncharacterized. The transcript has 3 exons. Lineage: Eukaryota; Metazoa; Arthropoda; Insecta; Ephemeroptera; Baetidae. The record is from RefSeq and is a predicted model, not a curated record.
AGGUUGUGCUUUAAUUUAUUGAUUAAAAAGCACUCAGUCAGUUGUCAUGGAUACCUAGGCUUUGAAUGGGACGAUUGGCAAACAUGGCUUCAGAAAAGAGCAGUACAGAAGAAGAAAUUUUAAAAAGUAUCAAUGAUCUCAAGAAGAAAAUUCAGCUCUCAGAGGGCCAGCGAAAGGCCAAAUUCGAGCUGUGCGGCAUUGAAAAGAAGAAAAACACGGACAAGAUCAAUCAAUUAAAAAAUGAACUGAAAGAGUUGUGUGCCAAUUUGGGAAAGCCCAUCAAAAGUGAGGAAAUUUUUAAUCAGAGAGCAAAGAGUGCAAAGGCUGAUUUCUUCCCGCUCAGCAAUAAGAGGCCGGAUGAAGCGCUCGACGUAAUUGAAUACAGGAUCAUCGAACUAAACAAGAAACUGGAUUUGAAAAUAUACCAGCGACGUAAGGUAA